RNAcentral lists this ribosomal RNA (441 nucleotides) under uncultured bacterium. RNAcentral describes it as "partial 16S ribosomal RNA". It matches the Rfam family "Bacterial small subunit ribosomal RNA", at positions 338 to 795 of the family's 1533-position model. The record is from RNAcentral.
CCUACGGGAGGCAGCAGUGGGGAAUAUUGCACAAUGGGGGAAACCCUGAUGCAGCCACGCCGCGUGAGUGAAGAAGGUUCUCGGAUUUUUAAGCCCCGUUUGCAGGGAAGAGGCAGGACGGUACCUGCAGAGGAAGCCACGGCUAAAUACGUGCCAGCAGGCGUGGGAAAACGUAGGUGGCAAGCGUUGUUCGGAAUAACUGGGCGUAAAGGAUGCGUAGGCGGUUAAACUAGUUAUAUGUUAAAUAUAUAGGCUUAACCUGUAGAAAGCAAAUUAAACUGGUUAACUAGAGUGCAAGAGAAGUAAGUGGAAUGCGUAGUGUAGCGGUGAAAUGCGUAGAGAUUAGGCAGAACCCCAGUUGCGAAGGCAACUUACUGGACUGUAACUGACGCUGAGGCAUGAGAGCAUGGGGAGCGAACAGGAUUAGAUACCCUAGUAGUC